GCUUUAGAUCAUCAGGAACCAGUACUCUGCAAACCCCACCAUGGCCGGGAUGCUCCUCAUUCUCACCUUACUUAUACUCUGCCCAGGCUCCAAAGCACAGUCGAGGCUGAGUCAGGAAGCCACCAUGUCUGCUUCCGUUGGACAAGAAGUCACCCUCGUCUGUACUGGAAGUGGUGGAAAUAUUGGAGCAUAUGAUGCAUCCUGGCACAAAGAAAUACCGGGGGAUGUCCCCAAAUUUGUGACAAUUGGCUACUCCCGACCCUUUGACAAAACGUAUUCCCUGACUAUGACUGACCUUCAGCCUGAGGAUGAGGCCAGUUAUUACUGUUCAACAUGGGACUAUGGCACAAAUGCUCACACUGUAUGCCAGAUGCUUGAGGAACUGAGACAAAAUCAUCCCCAACCCAUGCCAGCCUGA
Non-coding RNA from Meriones unguiculatus (Mongolian gerbil), 418 nucleotides. The record is from the annotation of a RefSeq genome assembly. NCBI's taxonomy places the organism in Eukaryota, Metazoa, Chordata, Mammalia, Rodentia, Muridae.